This 222-nucleotide long non-coding RNA is filed under the name Helianthus annuus (common sunflower). RNAcentral's name for it is "hypothetical non coding rna". The record is from RNAcentral. Lineage: Eukaryota; Viridiplantae; Streptophyta; Magnoliopsida; Asterales; Asteraceae.
AUGUUCUGUUGCUACUUUCUGUUUGAGACGACUUCCCGGUUGUAGUUGGUGGUUGAGCUAGGUUCCGGCAUUCAAGGCAACGGUGUAUUCUCAGAUGGCUUUGAAACUCCAAAUGGUAUAGCAAACGCAUCUUCCAUCGAACGCCAGAAGCCAGUUUGGAGUAAUACUAUCUGAGUAACAUGAGUAGUGACACCUGUAUUUGUUUUUAUGGUUUUCGUUUUC